This 264-nucleotide ribosomal RNA is filed under the name uncultured bacterium. RNAcentral describes it as "partial 16S ribosomal RNA". It matches the Rfam family "Bacterial small subunit ribosomal RNA", at positions 96 to 354 of the family's 1533-position model. The record is from RNAcentral.
UGGCGAACGGGUGAGUAACACGUGGGCAACCUGCCCAAAAGAGGGGGAUAACACUUGGAAACAGGUGCUAAUACCGCAUAACCAUAGUUACCGCAUGGUAACUAUGUAAAAGGUGGCUAUGCUACCGCUUUUGGAUGGGCCCGCGGCGCAUUAGCUAGUUGGUGGGGUAAAGGCUUACCAAGGCAAUGAUGCGUAGCCGAACUGAGAGGUUGAUCGGCCACAUCGGGACUGAGACACGGCCCAAACUCCUACGGAAGGCAGCAG